This 497-nucleotide ribosomal RNA is filed under the name uncultured bacterium. RNAcentral's name for it is "partial 16S ribosomal RNA". It matches the Rfam family "Bacterial small subunit ribosomal RNA", at positions 28 to 507 of the family's 1533-position model. The record is from RNAcentral.
GAUGAACGCUGGCGGCGUGCCUAAUACAUGCAAGUCGAGCGAACAGACGAGGAGCUUGCUCCUUCGACGUUAGCGGCGGACGGGUGAGUAACACGUAGGUAACCUACCUAUAAGACUGGGAUAACUUCGGGAAACCGGAGCUAAUACCGGAUAAUAUUUCGAACCGCAUGGUUCGAUAGUGAAAGAUGGCUUUGCUAUCACUUAUAGAUGGACCUGCGCCGUAUUCGCUAGUUGGUAAGGUAACGGCUUACCAAGGCAACGAUACGUAGCCGACCUGAGAGGGUGAUCGGCCACACUGGAACUGAGACACGGUCCAGACUCCUACGGGAGGCAGCAGUAGGGAAUCUUCCGCAAUGGGCGAAAGCCUGACGGAGCAACGCCGCGUGAGUGAUGAAGGUCUUCGGAUCGUAAAACUCUGUUAUUAGGGAAGAACAAACGUGUAAGUAACUGUGCACGUCUUGACGGUACCUAAUCAGAAAGCCACGGCUAACUACGUG